Cladochytrium replicatum is the source of this 74-nucleotide non-coding RNA. NCBI's taxonomy places the organism in Eukaryota, Fungi, Chytridiomycota, Chytridiomycetes, Cladochytriales, Cladochytriaceae. The record is from the annotation of a GenBank genome assembly.
UACCGCGUGGCGCAAUUGGCUAGCGCGUUUGGCUGUUAACCAGGAGGUUGGAAGUUCGAGCCUUCCCGCGGGAG